UUACUAACUCCCCCAGUCCUGAUGGGAUUAGGUUACUAACCCCCCCCAGUCCUGAUGGGAUUAGGUUACUAACCCCCCCAGUCUUGAUGGGAUUAGGUUACUAACCCCCCCAGUCCUGAUGGGAUUAGGUUACUAACCCCCCCAGUCCUGAUGGGAUUAGGUUACUAACCCCCCCAGUCCUGAUGGGAUUAGGUUACUAAACCCCCCCAGUCCUGAUGGGAUUAGGUUACUAAACCCCCCCAGUCCUGAUGGGAUUAGGUUACUAACCCCCCCAGUCCUGAUGGGAUUAGGUUACUAAACCCCCCCAGUCCUGAUGGGAUUAGGUUACUAACCCCCCCAGUCCUGAUGGGAUUAGGUUACUAAACCCCCCCAGUCCUGAUGGGAUUAGGUUACUAAACCCCCCCAGUCCUGAUGGGAUUAGGUUACUAACCCCCCCAGUCCUGAUGGGAUUAGGUUACUAAACCCCCCCAGUCCUGAUGGGAUUAGGUUACUAAACCCCCCCAGUCCUGAUGGGAUUAGGUUACUAAACCCCCCCAGUCCUGAUGGGAUUAGGUUAUUAAACCCCCCCAGUCCUGAUGGGAUUAGGUUACUAAACCCCCCCAGUCCUGAUAGGAUUAGGUUACUAAACCCCCCCAGUCCUGAUGGGAUUAGGUUACUAAACCCCCCCAGUCCUGAUGGGAUUAGGUUACUAAACCCCCCCAGUCCUGAUGGGAUUAGGUUACUAAACCCCCCCACUCCUGAUGGGAUUAGGUUACUAAACCCCCCCAGUCCUGAUGGGAUUAGGUUACUAAACCCCCCCAGUCCUGAUGGGAUUAGGUUACUAAACCCCCCCAGUCCUGAUGGGAUUAGGUUACUAAACCCCCCCAGUCCUGAUAGGAUUAGGUUACUAAACCCCCCCAGUCCUGAUGGGAUUAGGUUACUAACCCCCCCAGUCCUGAUGGGAUUAGGUUACUAAACCCCCCCACUCCUGAUGGGAUUAGGUUACUAAACCCCCCCAGUCCUGAUGGGAUUAGGUUACUAAACCCCCCCAGUCUUGAUGGGAUUAGGUUACUAAACCCCCCCAGUCCUGUCCUCAACCAUCAGAGAGUCUGAAUCAGUGGGUAGGUUGUUUCCCCCUUGCUAUGCCUCAGUGGGAGAGCACCAGCAGUCGGGCUGAAUGUGAUUUAGACGUUUCCCUUUAGGCACAGAUCUAGGAUCAGCGUAGAGUCUUCAGCUCCGUAACCUGAACCGAUACGGA
Oncorhynchus mykiss (rainbow trout) is the source of this 1237-nucleotide non-coding RNA. Lineage: Eukaryota; Metazoa; Chordata; Actinopteri; Salmoniformes; Salmonidae. The record is from RefSeq and is a predicted model, not a curated record.